AGACUGCCGGUAAAAGCCGGAGGAAGGUGAGGAUGAUGUCAAGUCAGCAUGACCUUUAUAUCCCAGGGCUACACACACGCUACAAUGGUCUGUACAAUGGGUAAGCCAAGCCGCGAGGCGGAGCCAAUCCUGAAAGCAAGGCCUCAGUUCAGAUUGCAGUCUGCAACUCGACUGCAUGAAGCCGGAGUUGCUAGUAACCGCAGGUCAGCAAUACUGCGGUGAAUACGUUCCCGGGUCUU
RNAcentral lists this ribosomal RNA (239 nucleotides) under uncultured Anaerolineaceae bacterium. RNAcentral describes it as "partial 16S ribosomal RNA". It matches the Rfam family "Bacterial small subunit ribosomal RNA", at positions 1146 to 1382 of the family's 1533-position model. The record is from RNAcentral. Lineage: Bacteria; Bacillati; Chloroflexota; Anaerolineae; Anaerolineales; Anaerolineaceae.